AGCGAAUGGGUGGAUCAUGCAC
This 22-nucleotide microRNA is filed under the name Melibe leonina. RNAcentral's name for it is "mle-miR-12099-3p". The record is from miRBase by way of RNAcentral. Lineage: Eukaryota; Metazoa; Mollusca; Gastropoda; Nudibranchia; Dendronotidae.